Molecule: transfer RNA, 89 nt
Filed under: Halomonas cerina
Lineage: Bacteria; Pseudomonadati; Pseudomonadota; Gammaproteobacteria; Oceanospirillales; Halomonadaceae
Description: tRNA-OTHER
Rfam family: transfer-messenger RNA
About the family: Bacterial tmRNA, also known as 10Sa RNA or SsrA, is named for its dual tRNA and mRNA-like properties.
Source: RNAcentral
GAGGCGCUAAAGCAAAAGACGGACCUAAGCAUGUAGAGCCAAUGGGCGAGUACCGGCGGACGCGGGUUCAAUUCCCGCCGCCUCCACCA